AUUGAACGCUGGCGGCAUGCCUUACACAUGCAAGUCGAACGGUAACGGGCCUUCGGGUGCCGACGAGUGGCGAACGGGUGAGUAAUACAUCGGAACGUGCCCGAUCGUGGGGGAUAACGAGGCGAAAGCUUUGCUAAUACCUCAUACGAUCUACGGAUGAAAGCAGGGGACCGCAAGGCCUUGCGGGGACGGAGCGGCCGAUGGCAGAUUAGGUAGUUGUUGGGAUAAAAGCUUACCAAGCCGACGAUCUGUAGCUGGUCUGAGAGGAUGAUCAGCCACACUGGGACUGAGACACGGCCCAGACUCCUACGGGAGGCAGCAGUGGGGAAUUUUGGACAAUGGGCGCAAGCCUGAUACAGCCAAGCCGCGUGCAGGAUGAAGGCCUUCGGGUUGUAAACUGCUUUUGUACGGAACGAAAAGCCUUCUUUUAAUACAGGAGGGUCAUGACGGUACCGUAAGAAUAAGCACCGGCUAACUACGUG
This 482-nucleotide ribosomal RNA is filed under the name uncultured bacterium. RNAcentral's name for it is "partial 16S ribosomal RNA". It matches the Rfam family "Bacterial small subunit ribosomal RNA", at positions 30 to 507 of the family's 1533-position model. The record is from RNAcentral.